ACUUUUAGGUAAAGGGUGGUGGAACUGUAUUCUCUCAUGCAUAAGUAAUUUCACUUUGCAGAAACAUCCAUCAGACAGAGCGAGGCUGCGUCCUGAGUGGCGGCGUCCGACACGGACACGCAGACUUGUGUUGGACACGGAACACGUGGCACUGCUGCUGCGGAGAGAGAGAGAGAGGGGAAGAGAGAGAGAGAAAAACAGAGGGUGAGAGAGAGAAAGAGAGAGACAGCGAGAGAAAGAGAGAGAGAGAGAGAGAGAGACAGCGAGAGAAAGAGCAACAACAGCGACUCUUCUUCCUUCAGUCCCUCCAGCCACGCGUCCACUGGAGCUCCUGCUGCCGCUGGUGACCAGACACGACCAGACCCGGCCGCACAGUUCCGACCACCUACACUGGAGGAAAGUCUUCCAUCGGACCGCGAACGAGACAGAGAGUGAGGUCCUGCCUGAGACAUUUUUACAGGAAACGAUACUCAACUCUGCUCGCUUUCUUUCUGAAGAGAUGAUGAUGAUGAAGAAGAUCGAGAUGAUGGAGGCCAAACUCUGGUUUGCUCUUUGUGCGCUUUUGCUCGUCAACCUGGGAUCCGCUGAUGAAGCCCCUAACGCAACGACUGUGCAGACACCUGAACUGACCAAGAGUGGAAACUCAGUGACUCAUCUGCCAUCAAUGUCCACUGCUGCUUCCAACUUUUCCAGUGAAGCCCCUAAAACUGGAACCAACGCCACAAACACGACCGGACCUUUCUCCACAUCCCCGCCACAUACGACUCAGUCUACAUUGAAUCACACCACACCUUCACAUGGUACUCCGCCCUCUGCUACGCCUUCAGAAGAGUUGGCUUCAAACAACUCCACUCAAAAUGAAACCUCCCCCUCCACUUCUGUCUCAGCACCUAAAGUCGCCACGACGACGGCGGCGGCGGCUAUAACCGCCAGCGCUUUUUCCACUUCGCCGUCCAACCCCACGUUGUCUGGAGACAACGCCACUUCUCAGUCGUCCACAAAUGCUAAUCAGUCCAUCUUUGCAACAACUAAACCCUCCUCAGUCACCAUCACGGCCCUGCUGAACAUCACCUCCACCCAUGCAGAGAGUUCACCGAAGCUCACCAUGGAGGGCAGCAAUUCUCAUGACUCUCCCAGACCCCUUCUGGUUGGCUUGGUGUCGGCGUUCAUCAUCGCCGCCAUCGUCAUCACGCUGCUGCUCUUCCUCAAGUUCCGCCGAAGACAAAACGGACCACGGUUUCACCGGCUGCAGGAUCUACCAAUGGUAAACCGGCUGCCUACGUUUAGGCAACACUGAGUCUGUCAGGUGUUUUCAAGCUCAGAGAUUUCUUCGACAUCACACAGAAAUAUGGACGACAUGAUGGAGGAAACACCCCUGUCCAUGUACAGCUACUGAAGGGAUGUGGAGGCCCAACCAGAGUCUUUUCUACUCUUCAAACCAGGACAGUGAUGCUGUGGUUGUUGAACCGGAUCCUCUUUAUUAGCAUCAAACAGAAAUUUACAUGGGUAGAAGUAAGUGUAGGCCUGGAUUGCUUUUACUUACCCAGAUUCUCUGGGCGCUUAGCGGACACGGACCUAAUUUAAAUGGAAGUUUAACGAUAAAGACAAACAGCCAGGAGGAAUCCCUUUGGAAAGUGAUCUGCAUUUGGUGUGUGAUUUUUUUUUUUUUUUUUUUAAACUGGGGGGGAAAAAAAGCUUUUGUUCACUUCUGUACAUAUAAAGUUUGAGGUUGUGAAUAUUGGUAUGCCCUUCAUGUGGUUGAUAAAAGGUCACGCUCGGACCCAGGCUGAGGUGAUCGUGACGCUUCGUUGGGUUUAAGUCGGUACAGAGAGGAAAAGGAGGGAGGGAAGAAACCUUCUGAUUUUUCUGUUAAGAAAUCUGCACUUUACUUUUCAGGGGUAAAUGAUGAGGAAAAACAGAGAAAUUUUGAUUCUGGAGAAUUUGGAAAAUUGAUUUUGUAAAUAGAUUGUUGACAUUGUGCUUUUAAGUGGGUUUUUUUUAUUGUUGUUGUUUUGUUUUUUUAAGCGUUAAUAGAUUUGUGUCUGUCAGUUGCAUACCAGUGAGGAGUUGCAGGCAUAGCAGGGAUUAUUUAGUGUUUGAUUUUCAUGAUGUUGAAGGUUCUGUUGUUCUCAGGCAUUUAGUCCAGAGUGCCUUACACAUUUCAGUGAAAAGCCUUCCUUGAUUUCUCAAUUUAUUUGCCGGAUGAACAAAAUUAAUUUCCAGGUAUUAGCAAUGGUCAUGUUAAUAAUAAUUAACAUGAUAAUUUGGCAACUAUCAUGUUAAUGAUAACUGCUCACGUUAUCAUUACUGUGAGCAAUAAUGAUUCUGUUAUUUGCCUAGAAUAACAGAAUCAUUCUAGAAUUAUUCUGUUCUCAUUCUAGAACAGAAUUAGAACAGAAAGCAGUAGCAUCAGCAGAAAUGAAAGUGUUAGAUAUACAAGAACAAACUAUUAUGCACAAAAAGAGAGGAAAAAUGAUAAACAAUGAUUAGUUAACAUGAUAAUGUUAUGAUUAACGUUAAUCAUAACAUUAUCAUGUUAAUGAUAAUUGGUAAAGUAGUGAAGCCGCGCUGUUUACUUGCUGCAGGUCUUCAGUCAGCACCAAUGGAAAAUAAAGGUCGGACGCUUAUUGUUAGCAUUGCACAUACUACUGAUGUUGACUGCCAACAUGUAUAGGGCGAAGAGGUCUCCAUUCAAAUUCAGCACAAAUUUAUAAGAAGUGGAUCCACUUGGCAACACGUUGUUCUAAGUUCAGAAAUAUUUUGUAGAUUUUUUUUCUGUACAUAAGCCAUGUUUUAUGCAAAUGUUAAAAUGAAAAGGGUGAAAAUGUGCAUUGUCUCCAGCUAGGGAUGGGCUGGAUACCUGUGUGACGUAUGUACUUCACAUCAUUUGGUUUCUCUUACCUUAUGGAUCUGAAAGUUUUAUAAUAAAGUAUUAAAGAAAGUGCUGGUAACUUGAUACUGCUGCAGUGUCCCAUCCCCCUCCCCCACGUAUUGCUUCACAAUGCCAGUUGCCUUGCUGAAACAAGACUAUGGCACAUUUCCCUCUCUUACAAAAAAAAAAAAAUGUAGCAUCUUGUAAACCUUUCUGGUAACCACAAACACAAACGGCCGUAGGUUGAAAGCUAAAGGACAGACACCCAUCCGGUCUGUACAGCACCUGGCACUUGGAUGAUGUUAGGAAUUAAUUUUGAGUUCAGACGUGACAUUUCAUGAGACUGUUUUAAUUCUAGGUUGUUGUAGAGAAAGUCGCACUGAGCCAUGCCUUGUUCCGAUGCAGAAUCAAACCUGACGAGUCGGAACUCAGUUUUUGUUGUUUUUGUAUGUUUUCAGGAAACAAACUCAUUCAACUGAAACGCAGCAGAAUUGUUGAAUGUGCAAGUUACACGUAUUUGUUUUAAAUUGUACAUAUUCAUAAAGCAAUGUUACAUUUUUCUGAUGUUAGUUGAUUUUUCAGCAUCUCAAUGGUAGAAACGGUCUCUGUGUGGCUGAGGCUGCAGGUCUUUAAAGCGCACAGCAAAUCAUUCAUGGAUCAGUGUCAUCAUCACAUCAUGUGUUAAAUGAAUAUUUCUGCCAUUUGUAAGUCACAGAUUGCUUUUUUUUUUUUUUUUGAUUAAAGAUGUUUUUUUCUUAAAGACGUCUGCCAUUAAACAACUUCUGACUUCAGAAAUGCUGUGAAAACGUCUGUUCGUACAUGCCGGAACACAAAAGUCGAUCUCUUGUUUUUCUCAGAAACAGACGUUUGCUGUGGGCGAAAACGCAAGACGUGCCCAUGCAGAGACUUCCUGCAUGCAUUAGUGCUGUGUUUCACACAAGGCACACUCAACAAUAAAGGGCAGAUUAACAUAAAA
Gambusia affinis (western mosquitofish) is the source of this 3848-nucleotide RNA transcript. It is a transcript of the gene named cell wall protein DAN4-like, with no coding region annotated. Lineage: Eukaryota; Metazoa; Chordata; Actinopteri; Cyprinodontiformes; Poeciliidae. The record is from RefSeq and is a predicted model, not a curated record. The transcript is spliced from 4 exons.